RNAcentral lists this ribosomal RNA (301 nucleotides) under uncultured bacterium. RNAcentral's name for it is "partial 16S ribosomal RNA". It matches the Rfam family "Bacterial small subunit ribosomal RNA", at positions 509 to 807 of the family's 1533-position model. The record is from RNAcentral.
CAGUAGCCGCGGUAAUACGGAGGGUGCAAGCGUUAAUCGGAAUUACUGGGCGUAAAGCGCACGCAGGCGGUUUGUUAAGUCAGAUGUGAAAUCCCCGAGCUUAACUUGGGAACUGCAUUUGAAACUGGCAAGCUAGAGUCUUGUAGAGGGGGGUAGAAUUCCAGGUGUAGCGGUGAAAUGCGUAGAGAUCUGGAGGAAUACCGGUGGCGAAGGCGGCCCCCUGGACAAAGACUGACGCUCAGGUGCGAAAGCGUGGGGAGCAAACAGGAUUAGAUACCCCCGUAGUCACUGUCUCUUAUAC